AGACCCUGUACAAGAAAACCCACCUCCAUAAGCUCACUCCACAGUCCCCUCUCCAAUUACUUUCUGUGGAUGGCAAGGAUUUAAAAUAGUAUAAGGGUCAUUUAACUUCAUUAUCUGCUGUGAAAAAUUUAAUACAGAAAACAAGUGAUUAGCUCAGAUGAAUUCCUUGACUCUGAAACCCUCCCUCUUUGUAUCUAAAUUAUCUUCUUCUUCCUCUUCUUCUGCUGCUGCUGCUGCUUCUACUUCUCUCUGUCGCUGCACCAAUUCGUCUUCUUCUGAUAGUUCUUCCACUCACUGGCGAUGGGAUGCUGCCCUUCAAGGUGUCAUCGAAAGUGCAAUGAAACGGAUUGAUUCCUUCAUCAAUCCGCGUGGGAAAGAGGAUAAGGAGAUGGGGGAUGGAAUGGAUGCGGAGAGGGAUGGUGGGAAGGGUGAAGAAGAGUGGGAUUGGGAUC
Molecule: unclassified non-coding RNA, 452 nt
Filed under: Hevea brasiliensis (rubber tree)
Lineage: Eukaryota; Viridiplantae; Streptophyta; Magnoliopsida; Malpighiales; Euphorbiaceae
Source: RNAcentral